UGGGCCUCUGAGAGAACACUGUC
RNAcentral lists this non-coding RNA (23 nucleotides) under Rattus norvegicus (Norway rat). The record is from RNAcentral. Lineage: Eukaryota; Metazoa; Chordata; Mammalia; Rodentia; Muridae.